Molecule: long non-coding RNA, 1105 nt
Organism: Octopus bimaculoides (California two-spot octopus)
Lineage: Eukaryota; Metazoa; Mollusca; Cephalopoda; Octopoda; Octopodidae
Source: RefSeq, a predicted model, not a curated record
AUUAAAGGCCGACAAAUCUUGCUAUCUUAGUGAAUUUACAGCGCUGCCCCUUUUUUUUUCGUUAACCGCGUGGUUCCAGGAAGAUGGACAAUUAAUCUUUACCUUGGAUGAAGAUAUGUCCUCCCAGACGACGCACUUUAACAUUGGAAGAACGUGUUCAUGCUGUUAAAAAUUAUUAUUCAUCUGGUUAGUUAUAAAAAUGUUAUUGAUCAUUGAAAUAAAUCAUUUGAUAUGCCAUUUCCUGCAAAAUCGACCAUCUACAAAUUGGUACUAAAAUUCGAACAAACUGGCAACGUUGCAGAUGCGGAUAAACCUUAGUGCACCAAGAACAGUAAGGACUGUUGCUCAUAAAGAUUUAGUAGCCGCAUCAUACGUUAUAAGCCCUCGGAAAUCCCGGAGACGUUUCGUAAUCGUCUUUACAACGCAUCAGGUCAGAGAUCGGCUUGAAGUCAUAUCAUCCACAUGCACUCCAAGCUCUUAAGAAAGAUGACGAAGACAGGUGUCUUCAAUUUUGUGAAACUUUUGUGGCUUUGUUGUGAAGAGUCUCCAGAUUUUUGAACCACAUUGUUCGGUCAGACGAAGCUUGCGUUAAACUAAAUGGACGGCUGAAUCGGUAUAACUGCGUCUGUUGGUCAGAUUCAAAUCCACAUGAAACAUUGUAACAGGAGCUUAAUUUACCUGGUGUCAGUGUUUGGGGUAGCAUUUGCAACACUGGAUUAACUGGCCCUUUUUUUUCUUUGAUAGCAUAGUGACGGCCGAAUCAUAUCUAAAAAUGUUUAAAAAGUUGUGGCCUAUAGUGUCUCAGCAUGAAGAUUACGCCGAUUUGUGCUUUCAGCAGGAAGUAAAUUUAAGGCCUACCUGUUCGAAACUUGCUUGAUGCGCAUUCUCCGAGCAGUACUCAAAAAUCAGGUGUUCAGUGCUAAAGCAAAAACUCUCAAUGAUCUGAAACAGAGCAUCAUAAAUGCACGGCAAGAUAUUACACCGGAGUUGUGCAUAAGAGUAACUGAUUCAACCAUAGAACGAUGUCAUAAUUGUAUUGCAAAAAAUGGUUUACAUUUUGAACAUUUUCUAUAACCUUGUGUAAUAAAAAUUUCUAUUCCAUUUA